GUGCAGGGGAGCCAUACAUCAAAAUAAUUAGCUCAGGGUUUUAUUAAAUUUAUUCUCAAAUUGAGACUGGAUCAGCCCAUGGUCCCAGACUUAAAAGAAUUUACAGGUUAAUUUAUGAGACAAGACAAAUGCAUCAAAAGGUAAAUAAUGAGAGGAAGCCACGUGAUAAUGAAAGAUACUAACAAUAAGUGCUAGAAAUUCAUGUGACAGAUCGUUUUUAUCACAAUUCCAGAGACUUAAGGAAGAAGGAGGAGAUCGAAAAUGGACCCCGCCAGAACUGCCCUAGAACUAACCAAAUGCGGCUCUUUACCCUUCAAAUGUGGUGGAUCCAAAUGGAGACAUGCACAAUCCAAUGGAAUCCUUCCAUAGGAAGAUAAAUGGCAGGAUCAAUGUCAUCUGUCUCUCCCUGUCAUACAGAAGGAGGAAAUAGAGAACUUUUCUGGUACUGGAAAGAGGUUUAUUAGAUAAUCAUUCACAUAUAUUCACCUGCCUCCUCCUCAUCUCGAUGGAUGGAGUAUACAUCACUAUUUCAUGCAUGUUAGAUUUGUUCAUGUUACUUGCUUUGGCCUUACAGUAGGUGGAAAGUACUUGGUCACUGGGAGGCCCACAGUUAUGGUGUAAACACAAGCUUGAAUGUGAUCAUGUCAUUGAGCUUGACCUCUUGUACCCCCUGGACCCAUGAGGGUGAGAAACAGGAGAAGUUGGUUUGGAUCCAAACUUCAACUUGGAGCUAAGCCAGACAAGCCUGUCUAGGUUCACCAAUCCCCUAAUUUGCAGAUGUAUGAAUAAAUAUAUAUGAUGGUUGUUUUAAGCCACUUAAUUUUUGGAAUGACUUGUUACACAGCUUUACUGUGGCAGUAGAUGACUGAUAAAAAGAAUCAGAGAAAGAAAUUCUAAGAAAAGCAGAAAGUAAGAGGCAAGGUCUUGGCCAUCUUUUUCUUUGGGAAAGAAACCCUGGAAAUGAGAAGAGGCAGGUAAAAGUACCAGACAGAUUUGUAUACCAAUGCUUCACUUUCUCUUGUGUAUCCUAGGAAGCUUGCAACCCUGUCAAAGAAGCUGUGUAUCUGGUGCCGUGUAGCACCCAACAUGGUGUAGGAGCGUCAGCUGAGUAGCACCAGUGGACGGAGGUGCUAAAUAGAUGGUCCUAAAAUUGCUGUUUAAGUUGUCCUCAGCUUGAAUGUGACAUUUUGACUACCUAAAAUUUCUACAUGUUCCAGGGUAGAUACAAAGUUUUGAGAGAACUGGUGGACAUGAAGAGGCCUAAGGCAAGAAAAAAGAGAUUGC
Molecule: long non-coding RNA, 1284 nt
Filed under: Ailuropoda melanoleuca (giant panda)
Lineage: Eukaryota; Metazoa; Chordata; Mammalia; Carnivora; Ursidae
Description: lncRNA (ENSAMEG00000027062.1)
Source: RNAcentral